UGGGGAAUAUUGCGCAAUGGGCGAAAGCCUGACGCAGCGACGCCGCGUGAGGGAUGAAGGUUUUCGGAUCGUAAACCUCUGUCAGAAGGGAAGAAACCGCACUGUGCUAAUCAGCAGUGCCUUGACGGUACCUUCAAAGGAAGCACCGGCUAACUCCGUGCCAGCAGCCGCGGUAAUACGGAGGGUGCAAGCGUUAAUCGGAAUUACUGGGCGUAAAGCGCACGUAGGCUGCUUUGUAAGUCAGAGGUGAAAUCCCACGGCUCAACCGUGGAACUGCCUUUGAUACUGCUUAGCUUGAAUCCGGGAGAGGGAGGCGGAAUUCCAGGUGUAGGGAUGAAAUCCGGAGAUAUCUGGAGGAACAUCAGUGGCGAAGGCGGCCACCUGGACCGGUGUUGACGCUGAGGUGCGAAAGCGUGGGGAGCAAACAGG
This 429-nucleotide ribosomal RNA is filed under the name Fusobacteriota bacterium. Its description in RNAcentral is "Fusobacteria bacterium partial 16S ribosomal RNA". It matches the Rfam family "Bacterial small subunit ribosomal RNA", at positions 355 to 776 of the family's 1533-position model. The record is from RNAcentral. Lineage: Bacteria; Fusobacteriati; Fusobacteriota.